CCUACGGGAGGCAGCAGUAAGGAAUAUUGGUCAAUGGAGGCAACUCUGAACCAGCCAUGCCGCGUGCAGGAUGACGGCCCUAUGGGUUGUAAACUGCUUUUAUACAAGAGAAAACCCUGGUACGUGUACCAGGUUGAUAGUAUUGUAAGAAUAAGCAUCGGCUAACUUCGUGCCAGCAGCCGCGGUAAGACGAAGGAUGCAAGCGUUAUCCGGAUUCAUUGGGUUUAAAGGGUGCGUAGGCGGACUGAUAAGUCAGUGGUGAAAUCUCUUUGCUUAACAAAGAAACUGCCAUUGAUACUGUCGGUCUAGAGUAUAGAUGACGUUGGCGGAAUAUGACAUGUAGUGGUGAAAUACUUAGAUAUGUCAUAGAACACCGAUUGCGAAGGCAGCUAACGAAACUAUAACUGACGCCGAGGCACGAAAGUGCGGGGAUCAAACAGGAUUAGAUACCCUGGUAGUCCGCACCGUAAACGAUGAUUACUCGUUGUUGGCGAUAUGACAGUCAGCGACCAAGCGAAAGCGAUAAGAAUCCACCUGGGGAGUACGCCGGCAACGGUGAAACUCAAAGGAAUUGACGGCGAGAGACGNGCGACGGACGACGACGAGGGAGGAGG
This 614-nucleotide ribosomal RNA is filed under the name uncultured bacterium. RNAcentral's name for it is "bacterial SSU rRNA". It matches the Rfam family "Bacterial small subunit ribosomal RNA", at positions 338 to 954 of the family's 1533-position model. The record is from RNAcentral.